AUACGGAGGGGGUUAGCGUUGUUCGGAAUUACUGGGCGUAAAGCGCACGUAGGCGGAUUGGAAAGUUGGGGGUGAAAUCCCAGGGCUCAACCCUGGAACUGCCUCCAAAACUAACAGUCUAGAGUUCGAGAGAGGUGAGUGGAAUUCCAAGUGUAGAGGUGAAAUUCGUAGAUAUUUGGAGGAACACCAGUGGCGAAGGCGGCUCACUGGCUCGAUACUGACGCUGAGGUGCGAAAGCGUGAGGAGCAAACAGGAUUAGAAACCCUAGUAGUCC
RNAcentral lists this ribosomal RNA (274 nucleotides) under uncultured bacterium. RNAcentral describes it as "partial 16S ribosomal RNA". It matches the Rfam family "Bacterial small subunit ribosomal RNA", at positions 523 to 796 of the family's 1533-position model. The record is from RNAcentral.